UACGUAGGGGCCUAGCGUUGUCCGGAAUUAUUGGGCGUAAAGAGCUUGUAGGCGGUUUGUCGCGUCUGCUGUGAAAAUCCGGGGCUCAACCCCGGACUUGCAGUGGGUACGGGCAGACUGGAGUGUGGUAGGGGAGACUGGAAUUCCUGGUGUAGCGGUGGAAUGCGCAGAUAUCAGGAGGAACACCGAUGGCGAAGGCAGGUCUCUGGGCCACUACUGACGCUGAGAAGCGAAAGCAUGGGGAGCGAACAGG
Molecule: ribosomal RNA, 253 nt
Filed under: uncultured bacterium
Lineage: Bacteria
Description: partial 16S ribosomal RNA
Rfam family: Bacterial small subunit ribosomal RNA
Source: RNAcentral